RNAcentral lists this ribosomal RNA (550 nucleotides) under uncultured bacterium. RNAcentral describes it as "bacterial SSU rRNA". It matches the Rfam family "Bacterial small subunit ribosomal RNA", at positions 355 to 896 of the family's 1533-position model. The record is from RNAcentral.
UAGGGAAUCUUCGGCAAUGGACGGAAGUCUGACCGAGCAACGCCGCGUGAGUGAAGAAGGUUUUCGGAUCGUAAAGCUCUGUUGUAAGAGAAGAACGAGUGUGAGAGUGGAAAGUUCACACUGUGACGGUAUCUUACCAGAAAGGGACGGCUAACUACGUGCCAGCAGCCGCGGUAAUACGUAGGUCCCGAGCGUUGUCCGGAUUUAUUGGGCGUAAAGCGAGCGCAGGCGGUUAGAUAAGUCUGAAGUUAAAGGCUGUGACUUAACCAUAGUACGCUUUGGAAACUGUUUAACUUGAGUGCAAGAGGGGAGAGUGGAAUUCCAUGUGUAGCGGUGAAAUGCGUAGAUAUAUGGAGGAACACCGGUGGCGAAAGCGGCUCUCUGGCUUGUAACUGACGCUGAGGCUUGAAAGCGUGGGGAGCAAACAGGAUUAGAUACCCUGGUAGUCCACGCCGUAAACGAUGAGUGCUAGGUGUUAGACCCUUUCCGGGGUUUAGUGCCGCAGCUAACGCAUUAAGCACUCCGCCUGGGGAGUACGACCGCAAGGUUG